CGGUCACCACGCGUUGAAACACUAGUUCCGGUACGAUCACCAAUUUAAGCAAUGGUGAGCCUGGUCAGUACCUAGAUGGGUGACGACUUGGGAAUACCAGGUGCUGUA
Molecule: non-coding RNA, 108 nt
Organism: Acanthosepion pharaonis
Lineage: Eukaryota; Metazoa; Mollusca; Cephalopoda; Sepiida; Sepiidae
Source: the annotation of a GenBank genome assembly